AGUGAACGCUGGCGGUAGGCCUAACACAUGCAGGUCGAACGGCAGCACAGUAAGAGCUUGCUCUUACGGGUGGCGAGUGGCGGACGGGUGAGGAAUACAUCGGAAUCUACUUUUUCGUGGGGGAUAACGUAGGGAAACUUACGCUAAUACCGCAUACGACCUACGGGUGAAAGCAGGGGAUCUUCGGACCUUGCGCGAUUGAAUGAGCCGAUGUCGGAUUAGCUAGUUGGCGGUGUAAAGGCCCACCAAGGCGACGAUCCGUAGCUGGUCUGAGAGGAUGAUCAGCCACACUGGAACUGAGACACGGUCCAGACUCCUACGGGAGGCAGCAGUGGGGAAUAUUGGACAAUGGGCGCAAGCCUGAUCCAGCCAUACCGCGUGGGUGAAGAAGGCCUUCGGGUUGUAAAGCCCUUUUGUUGGGAAAGAAAAGCAGCAGGUUAAUACCCCGCUGUUCUGACGGUACCCAAAGAAUAAGCACCGGCUAACUUCGUG
RNAcentral lists this ribosomal RNA (492 nucleotides) under uncultured bacterium. RNAcentral's name for it is "partial 16S ribosomal RNA". It matches the Rfam family "Bacterial small subunit ribosomal RNA", at positions 29 to 507 of the family's 1533-position model. The record is from RNAcentral.